GGUUAAGCGACUAAGCGUACACGGUGGAUGCCCUGGCAGUCAGAGGCGAUGAAGGGCGUGCUAAUCUGCGAUAAGCGCCGGUAAGGUGAUAUGAACCGUUAUAACCGGCGAUACCCGAAUGGGGAAACCCAGUGUGACUCGUCACACUAUCAUUAACUGAAUCCAUAGGUUAAUGAGGCGAACCGGGGGAACUGAAACAUCUAAGUACCCCGAGGAAAAGAAAUCAACCGAGAUUCCCCCAGUAGCGGCGAGCGAACGGGGAGGAGCCCAGAGCCUGAAUCAGCAUGUGUGUUAGUGGAAGCGUCUGGAAAGGCGCGCGAUACAGGGUGACAGCCCCGUACACAAAAGCGCAUGUGCUGUGAGCUCGAUGAGUAGGGCGGGACACGUGGUAUCCUGUCUGAAUAUGGGGGGACCAUCCUCCAAGGCUAAAUACUCCUGACUGACCGAUAGUGAACCAGUACCGUGAGGGAAAGGCGAAAAGAACCCCGGCGAGGGGAGUGAAAAAGAACCUGAAACCGUGUACGUACAAGCAGUGGGAGCACAGGUUUACCUGUGUGACUGCGUACCUUUUGUAUAAUGGGUCAGCGACUUAUAUUCUGUAGCAAGGUUAACCGAAUAGGGGAGCCGGAGGGAAACCGAGUCUUAAUUGGGCGUUAAGUUGCAGGGUAUAGACCCGAAACCCGGUGAUCUAGCCAUGGGCAGGUUGAAGGUUGGGUAACACUAACUGGAGGACCGAACCGACUAAUGUUGAAAAAUUAGCGGAUGACCUGUGGCUGGGGGUGAAAGGCCAAUCAAACCGGGAGAUAGCUGGUUCUCCCCGAAAGCUAUUUAGGUAGCGCCUCGUGAAUUCAUCUCCGGGGGUAGAGCACUGUUUCGGCUAGGGGGCCAUCCCGGCUUACCAACCCGAUGCAAACUGCGAAUACCGGAGAAUGUUAUCACGGGAGACACACGGCGGGUGCUAACGUCCGUCGUGAAGAGGGAAACAACCCAGACCGCCAGCUAAGGUCCCAAAGUCAUGGUUAAGUGGGAAACGAUGUGGGAAGGCCCAGACAGCCAGGAUGUUGGCUUAGAAGCAGCCAUCAUUUAAAGAAAGCGUAAUAGCUCACUGGUCGAGUCGGCCUGCGCGGAAGAUGUAACGGGGCUAAACCAUGCACCGAAGCUGCGGCAGCGAACGUAUCACUUAAAGCGAUUCAGCGGGUUACGAUUGACGGAGCGAAGCGACGUCAAAGCGUAUACAAAGUCGAGUCGGUUUAAGGAUACGUUCGUUGGGUAGGGGAGCGUUCUGUAAGCCUGUGAAGGUGUGUCGUGAGGCAUGCUGGAGGUAUCAGAAGUGCGAAUGCUGACAUAAGUAACGAUAAAGCGGGUGAAAAGCCCGCUCGCCGGAAGACCAAGGGUUCCUGUCCAACGUUAAUCGGGGCAGGGUGAGUCGACCCCUAAGGCGAGGCCGAAAGGCGUAGUCGAUGGGAAACGGGUUAAUAUUCCCGUACUUGGUGUUACUGCGAAGGGGGGACGGAGAAGGCUAUGUUGGCCGGGCGACGGUUGUCCCGGUUUAAGCGUGUAGGUGUGUGUUCCAGGUAAAUCCGGUUCACUUUAACACUGAGGCGUGAUGACGAGGCACUACGGUGCUGAAGCAACAAAUGCCCUGCUUCCAGGAAAAGCCUCUAAGCAUCAGGUAACAUCAAAUCGUACCCCAAACCGACACAGGUGGUCAGGUAGAGAAUACCAAGGCGCUUGAGAGAACUCGGGUGAAGGAACUAGGCAAAAUGGUGCCGUAACUUCGGGAGAAGGCACGCUGACAUGUAGGUGAAGUGAUUUACUCAUGGAGCUGAAGUCAGUCGAAGAUACCAGCUGGCUGCAACUGUUUAUUAAAAACACAGCACUGUGCAAACACGAAAGUGGACGUAUACGGUGUGACGCCUGCCCGGUGCCGGAAGGUUAAUUGAUGGGGUCAGCGCAAGCGAAGCUCCUGAUCGAAGCCCCGGUAAACGGCGGCCGUAACUAUAACGGUCCUAAGGUAGCGAAAUUCCUUGUCGGGUAAGUUCCGACCUGCACGAAUGGCGUAAUGAUGGCCAGGCUGUCUCCACCCGAGACUCAGUGAAAUUGAACUCGCUGUGAAGAUGCAGUGUACCCGCGGCAAGACGGAAAGACCCCGUGAACCUUUACUAUAGCUUGACACUGAACAUUGAGCCUUGAUGUGUAGGAUAGGUGGGAGGCUUUGAAGUGUGGACGCCAGUCUGCAUGGAGCCGACCUUGAAAUACCACCCUUUAAUGUUUGAUGUUCUAACGUGGACCCGUGAUCCGGGUUGCGGACAGUGUCUGGUGGGUAGUUUGACUGGGGCGGUCUCCUCCUAAAGAGUAACGGAGGAGCACGAAGGUUGGCUAAUCCUGGUCGGACAUCAGGAGGUUAGUGCAAUGGCAUAAGCCAGCUUGACUGCGAGCGUGACGGCGCGAGCAGGUGCGAAAGCAGGUCAUAGUGAUCCGGUGGUUCUGAAUGGAAGGGCCAUCGCUCAACGGAUAAAAGGUACUCCGGGGAUAACAGGCUGAUACCGCCCAAGAGUUCAUAUCGACGGCGGUGUUUGGCACCUCGAUGUCGGCUCAUCACAUCCUGGGGCUGAAGUAGGUCCCAAGGGUAUGGCUGUUCGCCAUUUAAAGUGGUACGCGAGCUGGGUUUAGAACGUCGUGAGACAGUUCGGUCCCUAUCUGCCGUGGGCGCUGGAGAACUGAGGGGGGCUGCUCCUAGUACGAGAGGACCGGAGUGGACGCAUCACUGGUGUUCGGGUUGUCAUGCCAAUGGCACUGCCCGGUAGCUAAAUGCGGAAGAGAUAAGUGCUGAAAGCAUCUAAGCACGAAACUUGCCCCGAGAUGAGUUCUCCCUGAGACUUAGAGUCUCCUGAAGGAACGUUGAAGACGACGACGUUGAUAGGCCGGGUGUGUAAGCGCAGCGAUGCGUUGAGCUAACCGGUACUAAUGAACCGUGAGGCUUAACCUU
This 2989-nucleotide ribosomal RNA is filed under the name Salmonella enterica subsp. enterica serovar Infantis. Its description in RNAcentral is "23S ribosomal RNA". It matches the Rfam family "Bacterial large subunit ribosomal RNA". The record is from RNAcentral. Lineage: Bacteria; Pseudomonadati; Pseudomonadota; Gammaproteobacteria; Enterobacterales; Enterobacteriaceae.